Long non-coding RNA from Magnolia sinica, 194 nucleotides. RefSeq lists it as uncharacterized. The transcript is spliced from 3 exons. Lineage: Eukaryota; Viridiplantae; Streptophyta; Magnoliopsida; Magnoliales; Magnoliaceae. The record is from RefSeq and is a predicted model, not a curated record.
GGAUAUAAGCUUCAAUAAUUUCAUUGGUUCGCUCCCACCUCAACUGGGGAAUUUAGAAAGUCUGCAACAACUGAAUAUAAGCUACAAUAACUUCAAUAAUUCACUCCCACUUGAGCUGGGGAAGUUGGCGAGUCUGCGACUACUAAACUAGUGGAUGACAAAUUCACAGAAAGACAAAUAACAUCAGUGGCCAC